GUUUAGUAUUUUUAAGACUUAAUGAGAUGUAAUUUAAGAAAAAUAGAAUCUACACACAUGAUUUUAUCGAAAUUGCAACAAAUUCUAAAAAAAAAUUAAAAUUUCAUUUGUUUGUAUUAAACUAUAAAAAGGUCACUAGCAGACACAUUUGCCUUAAAACUGCUGUCUAAUUUUGAAAGAAUAAUAUUGAUUGCCAAUACAUUUUUUCUCUCAGUAACAAAAAUAUUUCUUAAUGUCCUUGCAAGAUCUGGCAGACGGCUAUAAACUAAAUACUUUUGUUCAUUUUCUGAAGAUCUUGUCAUGGCUUCAAGAGCCUUGGCAGCUUGUUUUGCUUUGACUUUUUCCAAUAAUGAAGCUGAUCAAAUUCCGGGUGCCAGCGAACUAGUUUAUUAUCAGGUAUGAUCAUCGGAGGAUCCAAUGAUGACAAGUAUUGAGCAUGAUGUUUUUUCACAAGUCGAAGCAAUGUCUCAUAAAAGAAUCUACGUCU
Galleria mellonella (greater wax moth) is the source of this 487-nucleotide long non-coding RNA. RefSeq lists it as uncharacterized. Lineage: Eukaryota; Metazoa; Arthropoda; Insecta; Lepidoptera; Pyralidae. The record is from RefSeq and is a predicted model, not a curated record. The transcript is spliced from 3 exons.